AUUGAACGCUGGCGGCAUGCCUUACACAUGCAAGUCGAACGGCAGCACGGAGCUUGCUCUGGUGGCGAGUGGCGAACGGGUGAGUAAUAUAUCGGAACGUACCCAAGAGUGGGGGAUAACGUAGCGAAAGUUACGCUAAUACCGCAUACGAUCUAAGGAUGAAAGUGGGGGCUCGCAAGACCUCAUGCUCCUGGAGCGGCCGAUAUCUGAUUAGCUAGUUGGUGAGGUAAAGGCUCACCAAGGCAUCGAUCAGUAGCUGGUCUGAGAGGACGACCAGCCACACUGGAACGGAGACACGGUCCAGACUCCUACGGGAGGCAGCAGUGGGGAAUUUUGGACAAUGGGGGCAAACCUGAUCCAGCAAUGCCGCGUGAGUGAAGAAGGCCUUCGGGUUGUAAAGCUCUUUUGUUGGGAAAGAAAUCCAGCUGGCUAAUACCCGGUUGGGAUGACGGUACCCAAAGAAUAAGCACCGGCUAACUUCGUGCCAGCCGCCGCCGUAA
This 500-nucleotide ribosomal RNA is filed under the name uncultured bacterium. RNAcentral describes it as "partial 16S ribosomal RNA". It matches the Rfam family "Bacterial small subunit ribosomal RNA", at positions 30 to 523 of the family's 1533-position model. The record is from RNAcentral.